This 465-nucleotide ribosomal RNA is filed under the name uncultured Klebsiella sp. Its description in RNAcentral is "bacterial SSU rRNA". It matches the Rfam family "Bacterial small subunit ribosomal RNA", at positions 338 to 795 of the family's 1533-position model. The record is from RNAcentral. Lineage: Bacteria; Pseudomonadati; Pseudomonadota; Gammaproteobacteria; Enterobacterales; Enterobacteriaceae.
CCUACGGGAGGCAGCAGUGGGGAAUAUUGCACAAUGGGCGCAAGCCUGAUGCAGCCAUGCCGCGUGUGUGAAGAAGGCCUUCGGGUUGUAAAGCACUUUCAGCGGGGAGGAAGGCGGUGAGGUUAAUAACCUCAUCGAUUGACGUUACCCGCAGAAGAAGCACCGGCUAACUCCGUGCCAGCAGCCGCGGUAAUACGGAGGGUGCAAGCGUUAAUCGGAAUUACUGGGCGUAAAGCGCACGCAGGCGGUCUGUCAAGUCGGAUGUGAAAUCCCCGGGCUCAACCCGGGAACUGCAUUCGAAACUGGCAGGCUAGAGUCUUGUAGAGGGGGGUAGAAUUCCAGGUGUAGCGGUGAAAUGCGUAGAGAUCUGGAGGAAUACCGGUGGCGAAGGCGGCCCCCUGGACAAAGACUGACGCUCAGGUGCGAAAGCGUGGGGAGCAAACAGGAUUAGAUACCCCGGUAGUC